UUUGACAUGGAGUAAACGCAUGAGCACAUAGUGCUCUUGAUUUUCAUGACUUAAAUUAUUGGUAUUUAAAAGGAUUUUAAGCUUUAGUUUGCUUUUCUUUCAGUCUACAAAUCUUAGUAUUACGACCCUGUUUCUGAAUUUCUGACUAAAAUUACACCGCUACCUCAAACCAUCAUCACUUCUUCAUUUGCACCAUCAUGUGUUAGAACAUCAGGUCUCUGCAAAAUGAAAAAGAGGAUGCCGUUUCGGAAAUAUGCAAUGAUAUUAUCAAAGUGUAACGCUGUGACUACAUGUGCGUGGAUUCUGCUUUCUUUGUUUCCUGCUGGACACGGAUUAUUUAACAGCACCUCAGUUCAGACUGUUCAUCGAGGAAUGUCAGUCAAUAUCAGCUGUAACUAUAAACCAUCAAAUGACACAGAAAGUUUCAUAGUGGAACUGCAAACUAACAAUAAACUGUGCUCAGCAAGGAAAAUGAACACUUCAUGGAAAGAACAUCUAUGCUGCAAUCACUGUAGAUUCAUCUGGAGUCUAGAAACUGUGCAAAUGGCAUUUGAGGUUUCAAACUUGCAGAUAAAUGAUACUGGCACAUACAAAUGCAUUGUGACAAGAUCCAUACCACCUCCUUCUGUGACUUAAGAGAAGAAAGAACAUUUGUCCAAGUGAUCGCACAACCCACUGUGUCUGUGACACAUGUAAGAGCAAUGAGUGGAUUUCCCAUGAUGCUUUGUAUCUCUGAGGGGUUUUACCCUUCUGGUCUAGACCAGAUGUGGAUUAGAAACGGAGAAUUUCUGAACGGCUCUCUCACACACAGCAUUAACAAAACCAACCCAGACAGCUCAUUCACCGUCCAUUCAUACUUGAAUACAUCUGACUGUGUGAACUACUCGUGUUGGGUAAACCACUCAUCCCUGACCCAACCAACAAUACACCACAUGAGUCCUAAUGAAUGUUACAGGAACAAAGCCCUCUUUAUAGAUGAGAAUGUAUGGAUAAUUGCGGUGACCUCAGCGAUGAUGAUUCUCACCAUACUGAUUCUCACAGUUGUGUGCGAGCGUUCCAGAAGAGCACACCACAAGUCUCCUGUAAGAAUGAAUGCUGCACCUGCUUCUGAUCUCCAUUCUCAGGUGGAGUAUGAAGUAUAUUCAAUGUUGGGUCACCAUCGUCCAGUCCCAUGCAGCCCAGUCAGUGUUCGCUCAUCUCCAAAUGAAGACAUUUUACUUUGAUAGAUUUCUUGACCCACUUAUAUCUUGUUCACCAACCUGAUAACAACUUGUGUAUGUAAUAUGGAGUUAUAUAAUUUAUACAUGAUUAUUUAAUCAUGCAUAAACUUGGCUGUAUAUAUGUUGACAAAAUAUAUGACACAUACGAAUUAUUAUUAAGUCUAUGUUAUUUGCCAGAUUCAGCUCUAAAAAUCCAGUGAAGUGGCUUCCUGAGUUUAUUUUCUUUCCUGUGCUGGCUUAUGAAAAAAAAUAUACUCUAUUCAUGUCACAUGUUGUUUGCAUGUUUUCCCUUCCAUUAACCUUGCAUGUAGACACUGUGUGGUUAAAAUAACCACUCAACAGUUUUCUGAAUACUUAGGGAAUAAAAUGUACAUGAAAUGACUUGACCACGAUAAGCUGUAAAACACUGUAACAUGAAAUAUAUGAUUGGACGAUUAUGAAGGAGAACAAAUGUAGUGCAGGUAAAUAUAUGUUUUUUGCAUAUAGUUCUGAGAUUAAGGUUUGAAGCAGUGCUAGAAGGUCUUCUGUCCAAGGGCAUUCAACUUGAGGAAUCUCAGUUAUAUUGAAUGGCUGAUAUAUUUUAACUCAACUACAUUUACAAGAGAUACAAAUAGAGAAAGAUAAAACAAGCAUGAGUGAUAAAAUACCUGUAUAAAGUUUACUAAAUAACCUUUGUUGCAUCCUCUUUAUGAUAAGUCUUCAAGUACAUGAAGUUUGGUUUUAUGAAGAAAUUAGAUUAUAAAGAAAGAUCAAGUAUAUAAAAGAGAUAAAGACUAAUGUGAAUUAAGACGUUAGCAAUUGUCAUCCAGAUGACGUGCCAGUGUUUAAGUACACAUAUUACAUGAAUGUAAGUAAUAUAAAUAAACAAAUAAUGUUACUAAAUAUAUGUUACCUAUAUCAUUUGUACAGUACUGUUGAUAAAUUGAAGUGCAUCGGUCUUAGAUAAAAAGCAACUGUGUUGUGUUUAAUGUUAAGAAAAAUGUUUUGUGAAUUAUUGAGUUGUUUAAGUGGCAAGUUAUUCAGGAAGAUUGUAAGAACUGUAUGACAAUCUGUUAUGUACAGUAUGUGUUAAACAGUGUUGAGCAUUAUUAUGCCACCUACUGUCUGAGUUUUACUUUUG
RNA transcript from Carassius auratus (goldfish), 2340 nucleotides. It is a transcript of the gene named DLA class II histocompatibility antigen, DR-1 beta chain-like, with no coding region annotated. NCBI's taxonomy places the organism in Eukaryota, Metazoa, Chordata, Actinopteri, Cypriniformes, Cyprinidae. The record is from RefSeq and is a predicted model, not a curated record. The transcript is spliced from 6 exons.